Molecule: ribosomal RNA, 253 nt
Filed under: uncultured bacterium
Lineage: Bacteria
Description: partial 16S ribosomal RNA
Rfam family: Bacterial small subunit ribosomal RNA
Source: RNAcentral
UACGUAGGGUGCAAGCGUUGUCCGGGUUUACUGGGCGUAAAGAGCGCGCAGGCGGUCGUUCAAGUCGCGUGUGAAAGCCCCCGGCUCAACUGGGGAGGGUCACGCGAUACUGAUCGACUCGAAGGCAGGAGAGGGUAGUGGAAUUCCCGGUGUAGUGGUGAAAUGCGUAGAUAUCGGGAGGAACACCAGUGGCGAAGGCGACUACCUGGCCUGUUCUUGACGCUGAGGCGCGAAAGCUAGGGGAGCAAACGGG